AUUGAACGCUGGCGGCAUGCCUUACACAUGCAAGUCGAACGGUAACAGGUCUUCGGAUGCUGACGAGUGGCGAACGGGUGAGUAAUACAUCGGAACGUGCCUAGUAGUGGGGGAUAACUACUCGAAAGAGUGGCUAAUACCGCAUGAGAUCUACGGAUGAAGGCAGGGGAUCGCAAGACCUUGUGCUACUAGAGCGGCCGAUGGCAGAUUAGGUAGUUGGUGGGAUAAAAGCUUACCAAGCCGACGAUCUGUAGCUGGUCUGAGAGGACGAUCAGCCACACUGGGACUGAGACACGGCCCAGACUCCUACGGGAGGCAGCAGUGGGGAUUUUGGACAAUGGGCGAAAGCCUGAUCCAGCAAUGCCGCGUGCAGGAUGAAGGCCUUCGGGUUGUAAACUGCUUUUGUACGGAACGAAAAGCCCCGGGUUAAUACCCUGGGGUCAUGACGGUACCGUAAGAAUAAGCACCGGCUAACUACGUGCCAGCAGCCGCGGUAA
This 497-nucleotide ribosomal RNA is filed under the name uncultured bacterium. Its description in RNAcentral is "partial 16S ribosomal RNA". It matches the Rfam family "Bacterial small subunit ribosomal RNA", at positions 30 to 523 of the family's 1533-position model. The record is from RNAcentral.